ACAAGACCGUGCUUGGCUAGGGAAUUCUGGGAUUUGAAGUCCAGGCAUCUUUAGCAUCUGCUAAAGUUAAGAAUCUCUGCUUUUAACAGAUUGCCUUUUCUCUCCAGCAGGUCUUCCUAUUUCUGGAGUUGUUCGUAGAACUUACAUAGAUCACUGGUGCUUGAGGCAUUUCAACUGCAACUUCUACACAAAUCAAAGUUUCUACACAAAUCAAAGAUAAAUAGCAAAUUCUAUAAGAAGUCAACUUGCAAGAUUAUCUGAAUUGAGUUUGAGCCUGUUGGUCCCAAGUAAGUAAACAAGAUUCUUUAAAACCAUCUAUGUUUUGCUUUCCUGCCUCACCUGAUUAGUGAAAGAUUUCAGGCAUGUAACAGGCUAGUAAUCAGUGGAACCUUGGGAGAAGCAGUGGUGAAUCUUUCUUUGAGGAGAGUGGUAGUAUCCUCUUUCCUCAAAGCCUUAUUGCUAUUCCAAUUGGGGAGUAGAGAAGCUCUACUCUAGAAUUCUCCACUGUGGACUGCAAUAACCAUAAUGAUUUCAUCCCAUUUUGGAGCUCCUGUUAUGACCUGGCUCAGGUUCAGUACUAGCAGGACAUUCAGUACUGGCUCUGGGUACAGAAGCCAACCAAAUUCAUUAAGUUUCCAUUUUUGUUUCUGGCCAGGAUAGAACUCCAGCAUAAAGAAUUGACUCAUAAUCUACAGAACUAUUUAUAUUCACAGUUCCUGCUCAAAGAGCAGAUGGCUUCCAGCUUGUGUCCCUUUUAUGGCAAUUUCUGGGUCAGUAAGCUAUGCUAAGGGGCUUUGUUACCAUGUUCUUUAUUAUUGCAAUGUUACAAUGUACUCUACCUUGGGCUUCACUUGGAGAUCACAAGCUUCAGCUGGUCUAUAAUGUAAGGACUUAAGUAAUGUCAAGCAAAACUUGAUUUAUCUAUGCUAUACCUAUAUUUAGAGAGCUGCCCUGCUAAUCAAUUUCUGGCUACAUUUCAAAAUGCUAGAUAUCACCUUUGAAGUCACGUAUGACUCAGAAGCUGGCUAUCUAUGAGAUCACCUAAUCCAAGUAUCAAACUCCAAAAAAAUGAUUGCUCUGAGUGUCGAUUUCUAGGGAUUGUUGUGACUGGGGAAUACAGGGGCAGAUCUUCUCUGUCACUGUUCCCCUUCUCUAAAACUGCAUAUGCCGGAGAUAGAACCCUACCCUUGCCAGGUUCUUAAGAGCAAUUAGGACCUGGUGCUUCUAAAGGGCCUGAGAGCUGAUAUGAAUAUUUGUUUGUCCUUGAACAGAGGUAUUUGUCACUUUUGUUUUGACUUUCCUUUAGUGGCACAUUAUAAUGGGCUAUUUUUUGAUUUUAAUAAUUUUGCUAGGCAUUGGAGUUUAAGUGGCUCUGAGUGCUUUAAGACAGGAGCAUCAUGUAAGUAUCAUCAAAUAAAUAACUCACCCUAUAUCCAGUUUCAAAUUAAUUGAGAAUUUGCCUUGGUACCAGUGAGGGAGAUACAAAAGGAUGUUAGAGAUAGAAAGAAAAGGUUUGUACAUUAUUUAACUGAACAGCACCAGUCACAGCAACAAAUUAUCCUAAUGUGAAAAACAUUUCAGAGGAAAAGUUAAUUACUUCAGUGUAGUCAUUGUUUUGAUAUUCUGAGUUUAUCAGCAUUCUUUUUAGGUACCCAGUUGUGUCCAGAUCUGCAGCAAAUGAUCACAGAUACUUAUCUUAAAUUUAAAUGUUCACAAACAAUCAUAGUAUCAAUUUUACAUACAAAAAUCAUGUAAAUAUUAUACAUGUCAAUAUGUGUGAUUUGCCUUUAAUUUCCCUGUAAUUUUAUGUUAAGCACAAAUUAUUACAGAACACUGUGGAAGUACAGAAAGUACUGUAGUAUUGUAGUAUUUUUUGCCUGCUGAUCUACCAAAUUAGAUGUUACAUGCAGAUAUACUGAACUCUUUCCCAAUGCCUUAGAUUUUGCCCCCCCCCCCCCUUCUCCAAAGCAACAUCUUACUGACAAACAGGAAGGCAACCGUGGCAUGGAAUGGUUAACCAUUUUCUGACAAGUUCUUUGCCAUGUGAAAGAAAAAGCUGCAAUUUGGAGGGGUUGAAGUGGAGCAGAAAAAAGUCUAACCAAGAAAUGGCAAAGUCUUUUGGUUUGUGUCGUCCCACCGCCGCCCUAGUGGUUGGUACCAAAAAGGUAUUAAGAACAAGUUGCUAUCAGAAAAAUCUACUUUGGUUAAAAAUUUUAUUUAUUAGUCUUAAACUAGUCCCCAAUGGUCGGAAGCCCAUUACACCAAUAGAAAUUUCCUACACAUGAAGGAAAUAAGAGGAACAUAAAACAUAUUUUAUAUUAAGUCAUGUUAAGCAGCUAAGCACCAAGCCCUGCUUAGUAACUAGUAAAAAUUCCCAGGGCCCCUGGCCAAAGCCUUUUUUUUUUUUUUUUUUAGCUCUCUGACCACUUCAUUAUUUUAAUUAGACUCAGGAAGACUGAAUCUGGAAUUUU
Molecule: long non-coding RNA, 2471 nt
Organism: Crotalus tigris (Tiger rattlesnake)
Lineage: Eukaryota; Metazoa; Chordata; Lepidosauria; Squamata; Viperidae
Exons: 3
Source: RefSeq, a predicted model, not a curated record